GAAAAGAUUUGGCAAAAUCAACUUCCAGCCAUGUUUCUUUGCUUUCAAAGUUUAACUAAAUUGAUCGUGGGGAAGUGUCACAAAUUAAAAUGUAUAUUUUCGACUUCUAUGCUCAGAAGCUUUGAACAACUCCGACAGCUGAAUAUAUACAACUGUAUGGGUUUGCUUGAGAUUAUUUCCGAAGGAGCAGAUCAAGUGCCACCUUGUUUUAUCUUUCCGCGGCUGACAUUUCUAAGACUACGUAAACUACCAGAACUUAGAUGUUUAUAUCCUGGAAUGCAUACUUCGGAAUGGCCGGCACUAAAAAUGUUGAAGGUCUUUGGUUGUGACAAAAUAAAGUUAUUCGGUUCCGAAUUAUCUAGCUUCCAUGGAAACAUUGAUAAGAAUCAGCUUCAUAUCCCAGCGCAACAGCCCCUGUUGUUGAUCGAAAAGGUAUAUAUGCAACCAUUUAUUUGAUUUUUUAUCAGUUGAGUCUUACUGUUUCUUAUGUUUUACGUUUGAUUCUUUGUUGCAAAGAAACUCACAAACAAAAGAUUUUAGAAAUACCCACUGUACAUGUAUGUAUUGCUCAAAAUUGUUUGACAGAACAUCAAUAGAACUAAUUAGUUUUUAUAUGAGUUGAUGAUGUUCAGAUCUUCCCCAGCUUGGAGAAACUCCUAUUAAGUGGAAAGGAUUUCAGGAUGAUUUUGCAGGGUGAUUACCCACAAAACCUAUUUGGCAGUCUUAAAUACAUUAAGGUUGCGGAUGAUGACUCAGCUUGUUUUCCACUUGGUUUACUUGAGAAAUUUCAAAAUCUGGAAAUCCUCUUUCUGAGUUGUACUUCAUACACAGAGAUAUUAUCAAAUGAAGGACACUCGGAGAAGCACGUGGGCAAGUUCUCACAAGUAAAACAUUUACAGCCGUACAAACUGAAUGAUCUGAAGCACCUAUGGAAACAAGACUCCAAACUGGACUCCAUUCUUGCAAAUCUUGAAAUUCUACGAGUAUAUUGUUGUCAAAAUCUGACUGUUCUAUUGCCAUCAUCAUCGGUAUCGUUUUGGAAUCUAACAGAUCUGCAAGUUUGGGGCUGCAAGAAAUUGAUGAAUUUGGUAACAUCCUCCACAGCAAAGAGUCUAGUGCGCCUCAUGACAAUGAAGGUGUGUGGGAGCAAAGCAAUGACACAAGUGGUGGUAAGUGAGGAAGAUGGAGCAGAAGAUGAAAUUGUUUUCAGCAAAUUGAAGACAUUGUCUCUGCUUGAUUUAGAUAGCCUCACAAGUUUCUACUCUGGCAAUUACACCUUCAAAUUCCCAUCUCUACAAGAUUUAGAAGUGAUUGGUUGUCCCAAGAUGAAGAUUUUCACCACAGGAGAAUUAUGCACACCGCCGAGAGUAAAUGUCUGGUAUGGAGAGGGAGAUGGUGAAUGUCGUUGGGCUAAUGACCUUAACGUUACGAUACAAGAGUUGCAUGCUGAAAAGGUACGGUUAACCCACCAACUUAACUCCCAAGGAAAAAUUUUACAAAUUUGCACUUUUUAACAAAAUUUAGAAAAUAGAUCAUGGACAACCAAGUUUGACUCAUUAGAAUAUUUAUUAUUGAGUAAGUGCAUGAUCGGGUUUGAAAAAGUAUGAGACACUUCUGUAUGUAGUUCUUGAAACUGUCCAAUUUAAAACAGACAUAUUCAAUUCUCAAAAAAUCAUGAAUCAUUAGUUUUAACUUCAUAAUAUAAAAGUCGUGUCAAAUUAAUGAAUGAGAAUUUUGUUUUCAGAUGUUGGAGGGGUCGUCAUCUAACUUGAGGAAGUACGAUUGGUGAUCAUGUUGGCUUUUUAAUUUAUUACUUGGAGUUGUGAAUUUGAAGAAUAAAGUCCCAGGUAAAUAAUUUAAUUUCCCUUAUUUGAUCUCAUAGCUUGUUUCAUCGGUUCACCUGAACUAUUUAGAUUGCGUCACUGGUUUAUUGUUAACUUUAAAAUGAAGUUUUAAUGUUUCAUUCGGGGCUUUAUGAGCAAAUUUUACAUCAUUGAAUGUCCUUUGGUCUGAACUUUUGAGCUUUUUGUUUGAUAGUCAAGGCUUUAUAGUAUGCUAUUUAUAAUUCCUUAAGAAUGUGCAAAAUUUUUUAUGAUAAAAUUGCUUGAAUAUGUCAUUGAAAGGAACUUCUAUGUUGCUCUUUAUGAUUACAGAGUUCUCAAUGUUAUCACUCUUCUUUUGCAGGAUGUGGAAUCAAAGAUACUUUUCUAUGAAAUUUGUGUUCCUUGUAUUAAAAGUUUACAUGCUGAAGGGCUUCCUGUGUUAUCUUUGCUGUUCUACUUGUGCUUUACUUCAUUGUGUCGCUACAGCUUUGUGAGUGUUAUGUUAACUAUUGUUUCCUUCAUUUGGGCAUUGUAAGUUUCGAAGGCGCUACAUUGCUUGACUAAAGAUGCUUAAAUUUAUCAUCUGUUUGUACCCCUUGUAUUAUAUACAAUAAAUUUUUGAUGUAUUUUGACAUUUAAUACGAGAUAUGUUUGAAUUUUCAUUGAAAGGUUUCAUAAUUGUUCAAAUUUAUCUUCAGUUUUAUUUUUGUUAUCUUGUUGGAACCAAAUUGACAACCAAGAUCAAUUUGGAACACCCAAGAUCCACUCUAAGAAACUUGAUCUUAACUAGGUCUGAUACUAGACUGAGUUUAAGAAGAAAUUUGCCUAGGUAAGUGGAAUCAAACACAACUCAAGGAACAAAAGCAGAAAAGAAAGAAAACAGAUCUCACACACAGCACCAAGAUUUAUAGUGGUUCGGCCAUUUUCUUGCCUAUAUCCACUGUGAAAAGAGAAGCAAGCUUUCACUGAUUUCAGAGAUUACAAGUCACAGAGAUGAAGAGUAUGUGUAACAGAAUCGAAACCCCUCAGUAACAGAUCAUAGAGCCUUUUACAUUUCAAUCAAAACCCUCUAAAAGGACCCCAAACAAUCAGCUCACGCUCCUGGGUUUCUCAGCUAAGCAAUCCCAGCUGCAUCUGCAUCCCGCGUGAAUUAACUGAAUUAACAGCUUCUGGAACUGCUCAGGGACACUUGUCAAAUGCUCGUAUAAUUUGCUACUUCAAAAACCGACAUGACAUCACUUCCUUCCCCAAGCAUCAGACACGUCAUACACAUUCCCGAAUCCAGAUUUGAGCUUCCCCUCUUCAGCAUAUCUCAAAUACAUGUUAGGCCUUGCAUGCAUAGACGCACGUAAUAUCCCAGAAGAGUUUUAUCAGAUGAUUUUACUAUCAUCGUUGUUGUUGCUGCUCCCGCCGCCGCCAUUAUUACUAUUAUUAUACUACUACUUGAAAAUUUCAAGUAUUUUAGAUGAGAAAUUUAUUAUGUUAGAGAUAUUCAUAAUAUACAUGAUGCUGAAAUCAGGGAAUUUGUUGUCUCAGUUUGUUUUAUUUUUGUUUGCCUCGAAUCAAAUUUUGAAAUUUAAGAACUAUGGUAAGAGAUGGAACAAGAGGAGUUAAAAAAUUUGCCAAAAUUGAUGUAGCAAUGAAACAAUUGUAUCCUAACAUGUUUAGCAUCAUUCUACUUUAUGAUCAUUGUUGUUCCGUUAUUUUAGUUCUUGCUCUGUUUGUUCUGUUUCUCUGUUUAUUUCACUGGGGGUUUGCUUCACAAAAUCUUACUUUCAAAAUUUAGAAGGCAAGGAAAGAGCGCUUCGAAAAUGCAAGAGGUAUCAAAUCAUGCAUUAAAAAACUUGUUGGCUGCUGGCUGGUCUAUUUCAUUGGCACCGAUCGAAUCAUUAUCCCUAAAAUAAUUAGGAGUCGGAGAUAUAAGUGUGAAAAUAACAGGAUCAUUUACAACAUGGAAAUCAGUCGCCAUUGGUAGGUGGCGCUGCAUAUGAUAAUAACAACUGAUUGAUACCAACAAAGUGUUGGCUCCACUGGUAAUGGAGUCCCCUUAAGUGGCUUGACUGGAUUUGCUCCCCAGUUCGAGUCGCAGGGAAGUCGCCUUUGUUGGGAGAAUCUGUGCCUCCCGGUUCGAGCGGAGACUUCUAGUCUGGGUUGUGGUACGGGCUUAAAGGUGCCUCCCACAGUUGGGGCCCUCCCCAGGAUACCUCGUGAUUAAUAUAAAAAAAAAAAAACAACUGAUUGAUGAAAUUAAUGCCAUCAAUCUGCCUGUUAAUGUUGUUGACGCGUGUCAAAUUUUCAUGCAUAUUAGAAUUUAUUAGUGAGGUUGCAUUAUGGUCCAUAUCGUCAAUAACUUUAGCAGUCAAAUUUUACGCCACUGGAGUCAAAUUUUCAUGCAUAAAGCUGUUGGCUGGUCUGUUUGGCUCUACAAUGAUUUAUCUUUUCGACUUAAAAUGAUUCCAAAAAGCCAUCAGCAAUCUCUAGUGCAACUCUUCAAAAAAAAAAAUUAAAAUAAAAAUAAAAGUCUCAAAAAGUAUCAUUAAUUUAAUUCUAUUGUUUCCGGGUAAUCAGAACGUGUUUGAUAAAUAUUUAUAAGUUACAGUUUGAAAAUUAAAUAGAUUUUAUUUAACAAAAAGAUAUUGUUGACGCGUGUCAAAUUUUCAUGCAUAUUAGAAUUUAUUAGUGAGGUUGCAUUAUGGUCCAUAUCGUCAAUAACUUUAGCAGUCAAAUUUUACGCCACCGGAGUCAAGUGAUUUUUAAGCAGUUUUAUUCAACUGGUUACCUGAGUUCGAAUCUUAAAGAGAUAAAUAGUUAAAAAUGAAUUUAGACUUUGCCUACUCCUUUAAUAAAAAAAGAAGGUCAUUUAGUCUUAACUUUUGAAAUUUUUAUUUGACAUUUCGGCUUUAUAGCAUGCGAUGUAUUUUCUUAAAUUUUAUAAUUCCUUGAGAAUGUGCAAACAUUUUAUGAUAAAAUUACUUAAAAAUGUCGUUGAAACGAACUGAACUUUUUAUGUUGAAAGAAAGCCUUAUUAUUUUUCUGUACUUCUAUGUAAUGCUUUAUGGUUACAAAAUUCUCAUUGUUAUCACUCUUCUUGUGCAAGAUCUGUAAUGAAAGAUACUUUUCUGUCAAAUUUGUGUUCCUGAUAUUAAAAGUUCACAUGCUGGGGGGCUUCCUAUUUCAUCUUUGUCAUUCUACUUGUGCUUUGCUUCAUUGUGUAGCUACAGCAUUAUAAGCGUUACCAUAACUUAUCUGCAGCAAUUUUAUAAUUUACUAUUAUUGUGGUUGUUGCUGCUAUCAUUGUUCUACUAGUUGGAAAAUUCGAAUUCUUUUAGACGUGACAUUUAUCAUAUUAGAUAUUCAAGGUAUACAUACAUGCAUAUAUAUAUAUAUAUAUAUACUGGGUAUCUGUUUAGAUAUGAUGCAGAGAAAUGACAGAAGUUGUAUUAAGUGACGAAGAUUGAGCAGCAAAACAAGAGAUAGUUUUCAGCAAAUUAAAGACGUUGGCUCUGUUUGAUUUAGUUAGACUCACAAGUUUCUGCUCUGGCAAUUGCACUUUCAAAUUCCCAUCCUUGCAAGAUUUAACUGUGAUUGACUGUCCCAAGAUGAAGAAUUUUACUAGAGGAGAAUUAUGGAUGCCAUCUGGUACGGAGAGAGAGAAGAUGAAAGCCGUUGGGCUAAUGACCUUAACACAACCAUACAACAACUACAUGCAGAAACGGUAUGAUUAAUUCACUAUUCUAUCUCCAAUGGAAAAGUUUUACAAAAUUUGCAAUUUUUUAACAAAACGUAGAAAACUGAUCAUUGACAAGUUAGUUUGAUUCAUUAGAAUAUUCGCUAUUACUUUUGUAUUUAAUUCAUCAAACUGUCCUAUUUAAUAUUGACAUUUUCACAAAAGUUAGAUAAUGUUUUUCAAUUCUCACAAAUUCGUUAAUAAUUAGUUUUAAUUUCAUAAUAUGAAAAUCUUGUCAAAGAAAUUGUGUUAUUAAACUUAUUAAAUCUCUCGCUAGUGGCUUCCUUCCUAAUCUCCAUGUGCUUUAGUAUUUAUUUCCAAGUGCCUAAUUUUACGACUUUUAAUUUAGAUUAAUGAAUGACAAUUCUUAUUUUUUCAGCUGUUGGAGGGGCUUUCAUCUUAGUCGACUUUAUACAAGUAAUCUGAUCAAAUACAUUUUAGUACUUGGAUAAGAUGUGGAUUUGAAGACUAAAGAUCGCAGGUAACUAAUUUUAUUACUUAUGUACUUUUCUCAUGGUUUUGUUUCAUCGUUUCAUCUAAACUCUUUGGAAUGCAUUAAUUUUGUUUAUUGUUAAUUUGGAACGAAGUUUUAACGUAUCAUUCAGGGAUUUUGUUUGCAUCAUUGAGGGUUGUUUGGCCUUAACUUCUGAGGUUUUUGACAUUCAGCUUUAUAUUGUGCUAUUUUUUGUAAUUUUAUAACUUCUUGAAAGCAUGCAUAUAUUUUUUUUCUUAUCAUGAUGCCUCGAAAAUGUCAUUAGAAGGGACAGCAGUUUUCUUUUUCUUAUUUAUUUUCAAGUAUCUACGUUUGCGAAUUUUAGUUCAACUUGUUGAAUGGGAAUUUUGUUUUCAGCUACGUACAAGACGAUGCCGCUGCUGCUGCCAUUGUUACUGUCAUAGUUACUAUUACUCGAAAAUUUCAAGUAAUUUAGUUGUGAAAUUCAUUAUGUUAGAGAUAUUCAAAAUAUAUAUGAUGCUGAAAGAAAAGAGUGGACUUGUUGUCUCAGUUUGUCUCAUUUUGUUUUCUCCAACUCUAAUUUUCAAAUUUUAGAAAUAUGGUAAGAGAAGGAACAAAAUGAGUAAAAAAAUUGUCAAAAUAGUUGUAGCUAUGAACAAUUAUAUCCAAACACAUUUAGCAUCAAUCUACUUUGCCAAAUUUUUUAGUCAUCGUCUUUGCUCGGUUGUUUUAGUUUUUGCCCUGUUUGUUCUCUUUAUUUUGAUUGAGUUUGCUUUACAAAGUCUAUCUUUCAAAACUUAGAAGGCGAGGAAAGAGCGGGUAGGAAAUGCAAAAGGUAUCAAAUCAUGCAUAUGGUCAAAUGCUCCUGUAUAUGAACACAUAAAGAACAAUUGAAAUAUCAUUCACCGGAUAACACAAACAAAUAAAAAAAAAAAAAAAAAGAAGAAAGAGAGAAAAUCUAAUCGUCUCAUUAUCCCGAACACAAAUAAUUAAACCAUCAAAUGUUUGCAAUGAGCACAAUCAGAUCAUCUCUUUGGAAUAAUUACAUGUUGGCUUGGCCUAUUUUUUGGCCGGUAAAAAGGUUUUUGGCUGGAGCAUUUGGCCUUAACUUUUUUUUUUUUUUGAGUCUAUAUCAAUUGAUGCCACUAUGUCAAUAAUAAUUGGUAGGAAAUAAAUUAAUAUGUAACUAUAUCUUCUUAAUUAAUUAUUUGUUUUUUUAUCCAUUUACAUUGGAAAAAAGGGGUGCAGGGUCAGGAAGCUUCUUAGACGUGGCACGUUCAAAAGCUUUUUUUUUUUUUUGUCUGAACCACAUGGUCCUGAGUAGGCCCUAACUGUGGGAGAUACCUUUAAGCUCAUACCACAAUCCAAACUAAUCUCCACUCGCACCAGGUCGGCCCGUAAGGGAUAAAGUACUGGCUAAAGUGGUGACUCCAUAUAAGAGCGGGGCUUGAACCUCUGACCUCUCUUAAGAAGUGAGAGUGCCGAACCACUCUGUUCAAAAGCUUUUCUUUUUUAAAAGCUGCGUCAAGCAUGACACGUCAACAUCAUUUACAAGUGGGAACAACUCUUUUUCAUAAAAGAAAAGCCUUUUUUGUUUUAAAAUAAAGUUUUUUUGGAUGAUUCACUAUUACUAAUUGCCCAAGUCAUUCUAUUGCGAAUACAUGCAAAUUAAUAAAGAGACUUGUGGGGUUGCUGGAUAGAAAUUGUUGAAUACAUACAAAUUAUUGAACAGAAAUCCAAUAAUUGAACACCGGCCAAUUCUUGUCCAAUCAAAUUAAAACUCAAUUAAUAUAUUCCACUAAAUUUUUCGUACAACAUCCUAUUCAGAUGAAUAAAAUGUAAAAAAUAAAAUAUAUAAUUCAAAAAAUUAUAAAGGAUGCAAUUUAGCAGGUCAUACAAUAUACCAACAUCAUUUACAAGUGGGAACAACUCUUUUUCAUAAAAGAAAAGCCUUUUUUGUUUUAAAAUAAAGUUUUUUUGGAUGAUUCACUAUUACUAAUUGCCCAAGUCAUUCUAUUGCGAAUACAUGCAAAUUAAUAAAGAGACUUGUGGGGUUGCUGGAUAGAAAUUGUUGAAUACAUACAAAUUAUUGAACAGAAAUCCAAUAAUUGAACACCGGCCAAUUCUUGUCCAAUCAAAUUAAAACUCAAUUAAUAUAUUCCACUAAAUUUUUCGUACAACAUCCUAUUCAGAUGAAUAAAAUGUAAAAAAUAAAAUAUAUAAUUCAAAAAAUUAUAAAGGAUGCAAUUUAGCAGGUCAUACAAUAUACCAAAAAAAGUCUUGGGGGUGCAGUGGGAAUAUUUCUUGACAGAAAGAGUCUUAAAAAUUUUUUCGCCAGAAAACAUUUUCUCUCUCUGAUCUCUGUAUUCUUCAGAUCCUCCUCCUUGCUUGAACGUCUGUAACUUUGUCAUCCAUGAUUUGCAUUCAAUUCUUGACGAAAAAACCUUUUUCCGGAUUUUCAUCUUUUGAUCUCAAACAUGCUUUGCUUCUGUUGAUUGUGGUCGCUUCUAGUGCUAGUUCUCUUCUUAUAUAGCUUUGUUCCCUUUUGCCAUCAGCUCUUUGCAUUUCCUUGGAUGAAGAAACCUUUUUCUUGUUUCAAUUUUCUGAUCUCAAAAGCACUUUGAUUCUAGUCUGCCACACUGAUUUUGUCCUUGUUUUGUACAAACAUAAUUUCGCCAUUAUCUGUUUGAUUAUCAAUUGACCCGUCGUUGACUCUAUUCUAUUUCUAUGUGAAAAAUACGAAAAAAAAAAAAAAGAGAUUGAAGAUGGUGGAAAGCAUUGUUACUGUUGUUUUAGAAGUUGUGAAAUGCUUGGCUCCUCCGACACAACGCCAACUUGAUUACUUGCGAAACUACAAUGAAAACAUUCAGAAACUCGAGGCAGAAACCGAGAGCCUGAAGGUUGAAAUUAGGAGCAUUGAGCGCAGAGUUUUUGGGGCCGAAAAACAAGGAGAAAAGAGUGAAGAGAAAGUCGAGAAGUGGUUGGUUAGCGCCAACAAGAUCAUUGAUGAGGUGAAUGCCAAAUUCAUGGGAGAUGAAGAGACUGCAAAUAAGCGAUGUCUCAAGGGGCUGUGUCCUAAUUUGAAGGCUCGCUAUCAGCUUAGCAAGAAAGCAGAGACACAGGUGAAGGCCCUUGUUGAGUGCCGAGAAGAAGCCGGUCGACUUGAUAGAAUUUCCUACCUUACCUAUCCGGACAAGAUAUGGCUCAAGUCCCACAAAGGUUACGAGGCCUUUGGAUCAAGGCUUUCUACUUUGAAGUGUAUACAAAACGCUUUGACUGAUGUUAAUGUCAGCAUCGUUGGAGUGUACGGCAUGGGCGGCGUUGGAAAGACGACUCUAGCGAAGGAGAUCGUUAGGCAAGCCUUGGCAGACAAGCUCUUUGAUCAAAUAGCCUUUUCAGAGGUUUCCGAAACUGCAGACAUAAAAAAGAUUCAGCGGGAUAUUGCUGAGGACUUGGGUCUCGCAUGGCAUGAGGAAACUGAAUCUAGAACUGCGAGUAGACUGUAUGAACAGUUGAAGAAUGAGAAGAAGAUUCUUGUGGUUCUAGAUAACAUAUGGAAGCAUCUUGAUUUGGAGACUGUUGGAAUUCCUUUUGGUGAUGAUUAUAGAGGUUGUAAACUCUUGCUGAUAGCAAGAGAUCGUAAUGUUUUGUUGGAUAUGGAUUCUAAACAUAACUUCUUUAUUGACAACUUAAAUGAAGAAGAAGCUUGGAGAUUGUUUAAGACGAUGGCGGGUGAUUAUGUUGAAAAUCGUCAGCUGAAAUCUACAGCAACAGAUGUAGCCAAGGGAUGUGGAGGCUUGCCUAUUGCCUUAGCUACAACAGCAAGGGCAAUGAGAGACAAGACUGUGCAUGAAUGGAAGAAUGCCUUGCGAGAACUUCAGACGCCUUCAGUGAUGAACUUCGAAGGACUGCCGGCAGAUACUUAUGCAAGAAUCGAGCUGAGUUUCAAGUAUUUAAAAGGUGAGCAGCUCAAGAAAAUUUUUCUGCUUUGUAGUCUAAUGGGUAAUCCUAUUUUUACUUCAGACCUGUUUAAAUACUCCAUGGGUUUGGGUAUACUCCAAGGAGUCAAGAAGAUGGAAGAUGCACGAAACCAAUUAUAUGCAUUGGCCUAUAAACUUAAAGACUCUUGUUUGUUGCUUGAGGGAGGUAGCAGCGAACAAUUUUCAAUGCAUGACGUCGUUCGCGAUGUUGGCAUAUCAAUUGCUUACCGGGACCAACAUGUAUUUUUGGCAAAAAAUGAGGAUGUGUUGGAGCUGCCGGACAAGGAAGCACUUGUAAAUUGCUAUGCGAUUUCUAUAAGUGGUUGCCGUAUUCAGGAGCUUCCUCAAGGAUUGGAAUGCUUGCAACUCGAACUUUUAUAUAUAUCUCCCAAAGACUCUUACCUUCAAAUCAAUAUUCCUGAGAACAUUUUUGCAGGGAUGCGGAAGCUUAGAGUUGUAGAUUUUACUGGGAUGCAAUUAUGUUGCUUGCCAUCUUCAAUUGAUCUCUUAGUAAAUCUUCAAACACUAUGUUUGGAUCAAUGCAUGUUGAGUGACAUAGCAAUUAUUGGAAGGUUGAAGAAUCUGGAAAUCCUUAGCUUUUUAAAUUCAGAUAUUGUGCAGUUGCCUGAAGAACUAGGUGAAUUGACUAAGCUAAGGUUGUUAGAUUUAUCCAAUUGUUUCCAGCUAAAAGCUAUUGCACCCAAUGUCCUAUCAAGCUUAACUCGAUUGGAAGAACUCUACAUGAAAAAUUGCGUUAUCGAAUGGGAUGUUCAAAGACCCAAUGGUGGAAGAAGUACUGCCAGCCUUGGUGAGUUGUUGCAAUUGCCUCGACUGACCACUCUAGAAAUAGAUGUCAAAAAUGAUAGUAUUUUACCAGAAGGCUUUUUUGCAAAAAAAUUAGAAAGGUUCAAAAUAUCAAUAGGAGAUGAGUCAUUCAAGCCUCCGGUGCGUGCGGAUGAAUGGUUCGGUAGUCGGCCGGUUUUGAUCAGUGAUCCUUCGAGUCUAAGAACCAUAAAGCUGAAGCUUAGCUCAAAGCCUAUUUGCUCGAAGAAAAUGCAGGGCAUCCAGAAUGUUGAAUACUUGUGUUUGGACAAGCUGCAAGGUGUCAAGAAUGUUCUUUUAGAUAUGGACAUUGAGGGAUUUCUACAGUUGAAGCAUCUCCAUGUUCAAAAUAAUCCUGACUUCGUGUGCGUUGUUGACUCAACGGAGGGGGUACGUCGUGAUGUGUUUCCUCUUUUGGAGUCACUUACUCUUUACAAUUUGAUUAACAUGGAGAGGGUAUGUAUUGAUCGACUCAAAGUAGAGUCUUUCUGUGAACUUAAAACCAUACAGGUGGGAAAAUGUGAUGAGUUGAGUAAUAUCUUCUUGCUGUCUUCUAUAAGCUGCCUUCCCACACUUGAGAGGAUUGCAGUUUUUGAUUGCGAUAAGAUUGAAGAGGUCUUUGCAAUUGGUGGAGAACCAGAUGUCGACAACAAUAAUGCAGUGGAGAAGAUAGAGUUUGCAGCAGUAAAAUUUUUACAUCUGCAAAAUCUUCCGAAGCUUGCAAGUUUUUGCUCUGAAGUAAAGAGACCAAAUACACAAGGGUCGCAAGAGGAAUUGACAGCUACUACUUGCUCGACCGAAAUCAGUUUGUUGGAGGAGGACAAGCUUGAUACUUCGACACCGCUUUUCAACGAGAAGGUAAGCUGUUAUAAUGAAACCAAAGCAUUCGUUUUUCUUUCUCAACUUAUUCUAUCGUGCAUUUUCGUUUGAUGACAACUAUAGAAAAUGAAUUAUAAGGGAAAAAGAAAAUGAGAAUUGGAAAUUAGAAUCUCACACACUCACUCACUAAGCUCGCUUUACAUAUUAAUGAUGUGAAUUAAAUUGCAUAUUAAGUGUAUGUUUAGUAUGGUAAUAAUUCUCAAAAAAUCAUUUUUAGCACGGAUUUCUAAAAACUAUAUUUGAAAAAAGUUUAACACAAUGUUUUGUAAAUGGGUGAGCUAUUUGCACCUUAAAAAUUACUCUAAACACUCUAAUUGAAAUAAAAAUUUAUAACAAAAAUAUCUAUCAUAUGAAUUAUAUAAAGGACAAUUUAUUAUAAGUCAAUAUUACAUAAUUACUAUGAACGCCCCAUAUAACACACUCAUUAUUUAAUAUAUAUAAUUUUCAUGUUUUAAACCUUAAAACUUUUUUAUUUACAUCUUCAUCAAUACUUAGAUGAAUAAUGAUAAAAUCAAUAUUUUUCUUUUAUUUUUCCAUAAAUAAUCAAUAUCAAACGCGCACUGAAGCUGUCACUUGGAAGAUGAUUUGAUCUAACAAGAAAUUAAUGUUUAGGUUGUGUUCCCCAACUUGGAAGAUUUGGAGUUGAUUGGAAUUAAUGUCGAAAAGAUUUGGCACAAUCAACUUCCAGCCAUGUUUCCUCGCUUUCAAAGUUUAACAAAAUUAAUCGUGGGGAAGUGUCACAAAUUAAAAUGUAUAUUUUCGGCUUCUAUGCUCAGAAGCUUUGAGCACCUCCGACACCUGGAUAUAUGCAACUGUAUGGGUUUGCUUGAGAUUAUUUCCGAAGGAGCAGAUCAAGUGCCACCUUGUUUUAUCUUUCCGCGGCUGACAUUUCUAAGACUAGGUGAACUACCAGAACUUAGAUGUUUAUAUCCUGGAAUGCAUACUUCGGAAUGGCCGGCACUAAACUCGUUGAUGGUCUUUGGUUGUGACAAAAUAAAGUUAUUUGCUUC
Molecule: long non-coding RNA, 12695 nt
Filed under: Citrus x clementina
Lineage: Eukaryota; Viridiplantae; Streptophyta; Magnoliopsida; Sapindales; Rutaceae
Description: Citrus clementina (C. clementina) long non-coding RNA (CCLE_LNC002962)
Source: RNAcentral